RNAcentral lists this ribosomal RNA (427 nucleotides) under uncultured bacterium. RNAcentral's name for it is "partial 16S ribosomal RNA". It matches the Rfam family "Bacterial small subunit ribosomal RNA", at positions 355 to 774 of the family's 1533-position model. The record is from RNAcentral.
UAGGGAAUCUUCGGCAAUGGACGAAAGUCUGACCGAGCAACGCCGCGUGAGUGAAGAAGGUUUUCGGAUCGUAAAACUCUGUUGGUAGAGAAGAACGUUGGUGAGAGUGGAAAGCUCAUCAAGUGACGGUAACUACCCAGAAAGGGACGGCUAACUACGUGCCAGCAGCCGCGGUAAUACGUAGGUCCCGAGCGUUGUCCGGAUUUAUUGGGCGUAAAGCGAGCGCAGGUGGUUUAUUAAGUCUGGUGUAAAAGGCAGUGGCUCAACCAUUGUAUGCAUUGGAAACUUGUAGACUUGAGUGCAGGAGAGGAGAGUGGAAUUCCAUGUGUAGCGGUGAAAUGCGUAGAUAUAUGGAGGAACACCGGUGGCGAAAGCGGCUCUCUGGCCUGUAACUGACACUGAGGCUCGAAAGCGUGGGGAGCGAACA